This 207-nucleotide ribosomal RNA is filed under the name uncultured bacterium. RNAcentral describes it as "partial 16S ribosomal RNA". It matches the Rfam family "Bacterial small subunit ribosomal RNA", at positions 568 to 774 of the family's 1533-position model. The record is from RNAcentral.
CUCGUAGGUGGUUUGUUACGUCGGUUGUGAAAUUCAGGGGCUCAACCCCUGACUUGCAGCCGAUACGGGCAAGCUAGAGUUUGGUAGGGGAGACUGGAAUUCCUGGUGUAGCGGUGGAAUGCGCAGAUAUCAGGAGGAACACCGAUGGCGAAGGCAGGUCUCUGGGCCAAUACUGACACUGAGGAGCGAAAGCGUGGGGAGCGAACA